UGUAUGAUGACACCCCAGUAGCACUGCAAACUCCCAAGCAUGCAGUGGGGAAGCCAACGUUGGAGAGCAGAACGAUCA
Cynocephalus volans (Philippine flying lemur) is the source of this 78-nucleotide small nucleolar RNA. The record is from RefSeq and is a predicted model, not a curated record. NCBI's taxonomy places the organism in Eukaryota, Metazoa, Chordata, Mammalia, Dermoptera, Cynocephalidae.